UCCUGGGGCUUCGCAUCACUUUUACGUCAAAAUGAAGAGCAGUGAGAACAGGUUCCAUCACUAUUUUCCUCUCCAAGGCACUCCAGUUGCAAGAACUUUCUGGAAUUUAUGUCAGGGCACAGAUUCCCAGAAUUGCAUUUGGGCCCCUCACCUGUAUUUCCUCUCUUUCUGCUGACCUCAGAACACAGGAUGAGGUGAAUCCUGAUUUUGCCCAACCGCACAGAACACAGCAUGCCGAACCACCCAAUUAUAGGAAAUAACCGAAGCUCUGGGCAAAAAUAUGGAUCGAAAGGCCCCACUCAUGAGGGUGUUGAAAUCUGCUGAGAUUUAUUUUGAUGAAGCGCCAUUGAUCCACCAGGGGGCAGGUUGAAUACCAAGUGAAUUUUGUUUAUGUGGCUUGCGCCCGAUUUCGUCAGCAAGGGACACUAGGUGGAUGUGGGCAACUGUGCCCAGCUGAAUCAAGCCGCAUCGGGACACACGAAAGGCACACGCCUCAAAUAUCUGCCGCCGGGCUCAGUUCGCCUCGUGUGUCAUGAGCCACGGCCACGCACAAGGAGAAUGGCGGUGCACCUUCCCAUCCGGUUCCCAAAACCUGCAGCCAUCACCUGAGAGUAAUUCACAACCUUCGACACCCACAACAUGAUGAUGGUAAAAUGCCUUUUUUCACUGUAGUAUGCUUGUUUCUUAACCAUCUCCCCUGGGUGCCACUGUAUUUCAUAGGUUCUUAUUAAAAACAUUUUGAAAAACAUGUCACUAAGUUGGUUUUUUUUUUUUUUCCAUGCCACUAAGUUUUUGAGUGUUGUGUCCUAAUCUCAUUUUCCCCAUAAACCCUCUGGUUUUUACUCUGUGAUUUUGCAUAGUGCAGUGCUAUUUAGGAACCCAUAUGUCACAUUAUAGCAGAACUGACCAUAUUUGUUCCAGUCAUUUGGCAAAAUGUGAAAAUUUUAGUUCUCUCUCUCCCCUUUAAAUUAUGUGUUUCCUGGGUUCGUUAGAACCUCUCCUAGUUCUCAACUAGCUUAACAUAAAAUAACAUUCACCAUCACCCAUACAUUUGGUUUUAGAAAACCAUAGAUCUCUUCAUAUUGAAUAAUCUCAAUAAAUGUUUGUUGAAAUAAUUUGAAUUGGCUUAUUCA
Molecule: long non-coding RNA, 1133 nt
Organism: Leopardus geoffroyi (Geoffroy's cat)
Lineage: Eukaryota; Metazoa; Chordata; Mammalia; Carnivora; Felidae
Exons: 4
Source: RefSeq, a predicted model, not a curated record